GCGAGAUCGAGAGAUGGAGCAAAUCCCAAAAAUAACGUCCCAGUUCGGACUGUAGUCUGCAACCCGACUACACGAAGCUGGAAUCGCUAGUAAUCGCGGAUCAGAAUGCCGCGGUGAAUACGUUCCCGGGUCUUGUACACACCGCCCGUCACACCAUGGGAGUCAGUAACGCCCGAAGUCAGUGACCUAACCGAAAGGGAGGAGCUGCCGAAGGCGGGACGGAUGACUGGGGUGAAGUCGUAACAAGGUACC
RNAcentral lists this ribosomal RNA (252 nucleotides) under uncultured bacterium. RNAcentral's name for it is "partial 16S ribosomal RNA". It matches the Rfam family "Bacterial small subunit ribosomal RNA", at positions 1249 to 1500 of the family's 1533-position model. The record is from RNAcentral.